Ailuropoda melanoleuca (giant panda) is the source of this 1575-nucleotide long non-coding RNA. RefSeq lists it as uncharacterized. Lineage: Eukaryota; Metazoa; Chordata; Mammalia; Carnivora; Ursidae. The record is from RefSeq and is a predicted model, not a curated record. The transcript has 3 exons.
AACAACAACAGCAACAACAACAACAACAACAACAAACAGCCCUCACUUCCCAGUGGUUAGACUCAAAGUAUGCUAAGAAGCUGUGCUAAUGAAUUCUGGAGAAAUGGCAGAAUCAAUGAGAUUUGAUGGCAGAAUCACAGCCAAGCCAACGCCAAGACCAAUUCUGGUACAUCAUGUCUUCUGCAUUGCAAGGCACACCCAGAAUGAACUCCCUCAUGAGGAUGAAUAGCCAAGUGUCAAACAUGUCUUCCUUGAGGGAACCAGAGGAAACCAGAGCAGUUGUACUCAUGGGGCAUGUCCAAAUUAAUGUUCUCUUAUAGCCUAUGUUGAGAGUUAUAUCCUUUUAGCUAAAUGCAAUAGACUGUAAUUCAUAUAAAUAAACACCGUGUUCAUCUUCAUUUUCUCCCGCCUUCGAAUCCAGUCUUCUGUAGACCUAAUUCACAUGCCAAAUCCCUACUUGUUCUUCUGCAUUACUGAAGGGAUUACUAUUGAGCUCCAAUGGGUUACACACAUGCACACACCAAGAACAAGAUUUAAUUUUCACAGUCAGCACAUAAGGUGCAUUUUACGUCCUGACCUUAUAAAAACACACACAUGUAGAACUAUAACCGAACAAAUCUGGGGCACACAAUAAUCACCCUAAUACAUAUGAUACAUUUUGAUAUUUUCUAUUUUAUUUUUAAUAAUAAUUUUCAUGAACUGAUCAGAUGACCUAAGAAUGGGCUUCAUCUUGUAGUAUAAAUUCAUUUUGCUCUAUAUCCACUGUGCAGAUUGUACCCUGGAAUCUAUCAAUGCCUAAUCAAUGAAAUUCAUUACAGAAUUAUCUGCCCUGCAGGCCCACCACUCAGGUUGUUUUCUUUCUUUACUUCUUGUCUCAAGUGAAAAAAUUGUGCCAAGUAUUUUACAGUUUUCUCAAUUAAUCUCUGAAAAUUCAAAAGGAAAGCAUGUACCCUCACCUUUAAGUAAAUAUAAGAGUGAAGGGUUUCUUUUCUCGGAAAGAUAAAUAUAUACACUUGCACUUACAAACACACACACACACACAAGCUAGGGCUUAGAAAAAAGGUCUAAAUGGAAAGACCCCAAAUUUAUAACAAUGAUUAUCUUAAGAGACAAAGAUCAAGGGAAAAAAAGUGAAGGGAAUGAGGGACUAUUACUUUUUACCUAAUGUAUUUAUGUUUUACUUUUUAUAAUAGACUUGCAUUAUUACUGUAAUUUUUAAAUUAAUGAGGUAUGUUUAUUUUUAAAAAUUUGAGAAACAUAAGUAUAAAUAUUUUAAACUCCAUAUUCCCACCAUUCAGAGAAAAUCAAUAUUAAAAAUUUGAUGUAUUUUCUUUUAAUCUGUUCUUCUGUGAAUGUACACACAUAAACACACACACAGAAGACUACAAGUAUAAUGAAUACAGAUUUUUAUUCUUUUUCACUUAGCAUUACAAUAAAGGAUGUUUACUUAUGUUGCUAAAAAUUCCUCAAAAAGUUAACUUUUCAUAAUUGCUUAUAGUUCAUUAUAUGGGUAUUUUAUAAAAUAGAAAAGUAAUCAUUUAUUAUUAAAACUAUUUCCAAAAUUUUUAAGUAACA